GCCGCAGUAGCUCAGUGGUAGAGCAACGCAUUCGUAAUGCGUGGGCCGGGGGUUCAAAUCCCUCCUGCGGCA
This 72-nucleotide transfer RNA is filed under the name Alphaproteobacteria bacterium. RNAcentral describes it as "tRNA-Thr". It matches the Rfam family "tRNA". From Rfam's summary of the family: Transfer RNA (tRNA) molecules are approximately 80 nucleotides in length. Their secondary structure includes four short double-helical elements and three loops (D, anti-codon, and T loops). The record is from RNAcentral. Lineage: Bacteria; Pseudomonadati; Pseudomonadota; Alphaproteobacteria.